RNAcentral lists this ribosomal RNA (549 nucleotides) under uncultured Glomus. RNAcentral's name for it is "SSU rRNA". It matches the Rfam family "Eukaryotic small subunit ribosomal RNA", at positions 548 to 1098 of the family's 1831-position model. The record is from RNAcentral. Lineage: Eukaryota; Fungi; Glomeromycota; Glomeromycetes; Glomerales; Glomeraceae.
UUGGAGGGCAAGUCUGGUGCCAGCAGCCGCGGUAAUUCCAGCUCCAAUAGCGUAUAUUAAAGUUGUUGCAGUUAAAAAGCUCGUAGUUGAAUUUCGAGAUCAGUACGCUGGUCGUGCCUUCGGUAUGCACUGGUGUCACUGGUUUCUCCCUUCUGAAGAACCAUCAUGUCAUUAAGUUGGUGUGGCGGGGAAUCAGGACUGUUACUUUGAAAAAAUUAGAGUGUUUAAAGCAGGCUCGCGCUUGAAUACAUUAGCAUGGAAUAAUGAAAUAGGACGUUUGACCCUAUUUUGUUGGUUUCUAGGAUCGACGUAAUGAUUAAUAGGGAUAGUUGGGGGCAUUAGUAUUCAAUUGUCAGAGGUGAAAUUCUUGGAUUUAUUGAAGACUAACUACUGCGAAAGCAUUUGCCAAGGAUGUUUUCAUUAAUCAAGAACGAAAGUUAGGGGAUCGAAGACGAUCAGAUACCGUCGUAGUCUUAACCAUAAACUAUGCCGACUAGGGAUCGGAUGAUGUUAAUUUUUUAAUGACUCAUUCGGCGCCUUACGGGAAAC